UGGGGAAUUUUGGACAAUGGGGGAAACCCUGAUCCAGCCAUCCCGCGUGUGCAAUGAAGGCCUUCGGGUUGUAAAGCACUUUUGGCAGGAAAGAAACGUCAUGGGUUAAUACCCCGUGAAACUGACGGUACCUGCAGAAUAAGCACCGGCUAACUACGUGCCAGCAGCCGCGGUAAUACGUAGGGUGCAAGCGUUAAUCGGAAUUACUGGGCGUAAAGCGUGCGCAGGCGGUUCGGAAAGAAAGAUGUGAAAUCCCAGAGCUCAACUUUGGAACUGGAUAUUUAACUACCGGGCUAGGGUGUGUCAGAGGGAGGUGGAAUUCCGCGUGUAGCAGUGAAAUGCGUAGAUAUGCGGAGGAAAACCGAUGGCGAAGGCAGCCUCCUGGGAUAACACUGACGCUCAUGCACGAAAGCGUGGGGAGCAAACAGG
RNAcentral lists this ribosomal RNA (429 nucleotides) under Acidobacteriota bacterium. Its description in RNAcentral is "Acidobacteria bacterium partial 16S ribosomal RNA". It matches the Rfam family "Bacterial small subunit ribosomal RNA", at positions 355 to 776 of the family's 1533-position model. Lineage: Bacteria; Pseudomonadati; Acidobacteriota. The record is from RNAcentral.